Molecule: ribosomal RNA, 440 nt
Filed under: uncultured bacterium
Lineage: Bacteria
Description: partial 16S ribosomal RNA
Rfam family: Bacterial small subunit ribosomal RNA
Source: RNAcentral
CCUACGGGAGGCAGCAGUGGGGAAUAUUGCACAAUGGGGGGAACCUUGAUGCAGCAACGCCGCGUGGGUGAAGAAGUACUCCGGUAUGUAAAGCCCUGUCAGCAGGGAAGAAAAUGACGGUACCUGACCAAGAAGCCCCGGCUAACUAUGUGCCAGCAGCCGCGGUAAUACGUAGGGGGCAAGCGUUAUCCGGAUUUACUGGGUGUAAAGGGCGCGUAGACGGGAAGGCAAGUCUGGAGUGAAAGCCCGUGGCGCAACCACGGGACUGCUUUGGAAACUGUGUUGCUGGAGUGCAGGAGGGGUAAGCGGAAUUCCUAGUGUAGCGGUGAAAUGCGUAGAUAUUAGGAGGAACACCGGUGGCGAAGGCGGCUUACUGGACUGUAACUGACGUUGAGGCUCGAAGGCGUGGGGAGCAAACAGGAUUAGAUACCCGAGUAGUC